Molecule: ribosomal RNA, 348 nt
Filed under: uncultured Pseudomonas sp.
Lineage: Bacteria; Pseudomonadati; Pseudomonadota; Gammaproteobacteria; Pseudomonadales; Pseudomonadaceae
Description: bacterial SSU rRNA
Rfam family: Bacterial small subunit ribosomal RNA
Source: RNAcentral
AGACAGGUGCUGCAUGGCUGUCGUCAGCUCGUGUCGUGAGAUGUUGGGUUAAGUCCGCAACGAGCGCAACCCUUGCCUUUAGUUGCCAGCAGUUCGGCUGGGCACUCUAAAGGGACUGCCGGUGUUAACCGGAGGAAGGUGGGGAUGACGUCAAGUCCUCAUGGCCUUUAUGACCUGGGCUACACACGUGCUACAAUGGUCGGUACAAAGGGUUGCCAAGCCGCGAGGUGGAGCUAAUCCCAUAAAACCGAUCGUAGUCCGGAUCGCAGUCUGCAACUCGACUGCGUGAAGUCGGAAUCGCUAGUAAUCGUGAAUCAGAAUGUCACGGUGAAUACGUUCCCGGGCCUU